Molecule: unclassified non-coding RNA, 774 nt
Filed under: Hevea brasiliensis (rubber tree)
Lineage: Eukaryota; Viridiplantae; Streptophyta; Magnoliopsida; Malpighiales; Euphorbiaceae
Source: RNAcentral
CAAAACUUGUCUGUGCGGAGCAUCUUGAACUGAGGAAAGAGAUACUAACCCUGUUAAAUCUUCAAAAGCAGGUACAAUACAAGGAGUCAGAAGGCUCAUCUUAUCGGGAAGGUUCAUAUUCUGAAACACCUGGUACACCUCCUAAGCGUGCGCAACGUGCUACGGACCAAGAUAGAACAUUCAUUCCCGAUUCUACAAGUUUUGGAGGGGAAAGAGCUGGUAAAAAGGACCAGAAACGCAAGGGGCCUGGACGAUUAUCAGAAGUACCAUCUUCACCAGCACAGUCAAAACGGCCUCGCAAGUUAAAAACUUCAGAUGGAUGAAUUGGAAGGACUAAAGCUACAAGGAGCUGUAUAAGAAGCUGCUUCAAAUCAACUUCUUUAUCCUGUGUUCUGCGCCUUUUUGAAUUUGCUCCACCAUGAAAACAUGAUCCAGCCUUUCAAAACUUCAAAUGUGGCUGUCUCAUUUGAGUGGCACAAGAAUGUUAGAUGCCACUCUAAUGCCUUUCUAUGGAGAUCAAGUCCUCCUUUGCAUCAGAGUACAGUCCCCGCAGUCUGUAUAUACAUCUGUAUCUUAUAGUUGUGAUUAGCAUGUUAACCUCACCUUGCUUACGGUGUCUCUUUGGCAUGUCACUAAAUUAUUGAGCCGUAUUGGCUGUUUCUGUAUUAACACAUCAAAGUAGUUCUGCUUUAGUCGCAUUUGGAUUGCUUACCAGGAAGGACUGAUAUGAGUUAACACUGGCACUGCAUAGAAGCUGAAACAGAUAGUGUAGUG